Long non-coding RNA from Zonotrichia leucophrys gambelii, 1818 nucleotides. RefSeq lists it as uncharacterized. NCBI's taxonomy places the organism in Eukaryota, Metazoa, Chordata, Aves, Passeriformes, Passerellidae. The record is from RefSeq and is a predicted model, not a curated record. The transcript has 3 exons.
UUUUGGUUUUCUCUAUUAUAGCUGACUGAGAGGCUAACAGGCCAUCACAGGGCCCUCCAAGGCAGGCUCAUUUCAGGUGCAGCUUGGGUCCACAUCUCUGAUCAUCCAAAAGAUAAGUCAGGGGCCAUGGCCUGGAGAUGGGAGAGUAGCGGGUUGGGGGUUCUUGGGCCAGAUUUAAAAAUUAGCAGAGGGAAAAGCAAACUUCUCCAAGAGCCUCUUAGGCCAGCUAAAGGGAGAGGCUCUACUUUUGAUGGCAGCUUUCAGGCGGGCAGUGCAGAACAGCUCUGGUUUGUGUCAUGUUGUCCAGUGUGCCGUGUUACCUAGUGUGUCUUUGGGGUCUCUUUUGCCUUCUUCCCUCAAGGCCCUCCCCACAAGCAUGAUGUGUCGUGUUUGAUGUCCCCCUGUUUGUCACGUUCUGUGUCACGGGUGUCUGCACAUAUUUGUGCCGGAGCUGUCCUGCCCUGCUGCAUGGCCUGCUGCAAUAGGACAAGCCCUGGGGAGUGUAAAUUUGUAAUGUGGGUUGUACUUGGGCUCUAGAUGCUAUUCCAAGAUUGACAUAAGGUGUUUGCAUGUUGUGAGUUAUCCUGGUGGUGUUUGACAUAUGUUCUAACUUUCUUUCAGGUGCAGAUGUGUUGCAUCCAUGGCAGAGGGUCAGGGUUAGGAGGUGCCGGGCCUUCCUAGGAGCACGCUGUCUGAGAGACACCAGCCAAGUGCCAGCAGGACCUUCCCAGCUAGCGAGGUGGCCUUUCUUUGCACCUGACAGGGAUCAGCAUCCCCUGAUGUCUGAGAGAUAAGUAGAGGGCUAAGGCCCACAGAGGGGAUGAAAGCAGGUUUGGGAAUUACUAGGAGGGGUUUUGGAGUCCACUUUGGAGGUGGGGCGUGUUCAUGAAGUGGCCCUUUAGGCCCCAUAAAAGCAAAGUCUCACUUUUGAUCACAGAGCUGAGGUGUGCAGCAGGGCAGAACAGUCUCGGUAUGUCUCGUGUCACUUGUCUAUUGUGCAUUAUGUGUUGUUUGGGUGUGUCAUGUCUUUUACCUUAGCCCUUUGAGGAGCCUGUCAGAAACCCUGGCAUCAUUGUUAGCAUCUGUGAUCUCUGCAUUCCUUGGCCUGGCACCCAGGCCAUAGAACUUUUGACUCGGGAGUUCAGACAGACAUCAGACUCUCUUCUGUCUUUAGAAGCAUCCAGUCAGAUGUCUUUUCAGGUCUUGUUCUGAGUUAUAUGGACAGCUAUGCCCCACCUGGAUCCAUUAUGGUGGAUUAGGGCUUGUAAUAAUAUGAGGUUAGUUAGAGGAUUCUGACCAUAGGACUCCUAGGCAUCCAUCUUUGCUGUUCUUGGAAUAAAUCAUCCAGUUUAGCAUCUUCUUCCUCCAGGGUUCUCUGAGCCUCAUCAGCUCACCAUCGGUCUUACCUCGGUCAUCUCUUUUUGCAUUCUCUCAGUCCUCGCAGCCAUUUUCCUUGCCAAGAGAUUUCUGUGCCUGUUGUGUCCUCGUUGUCUGUCACGUCCUAUCCCGUGUCAUGGGUGUCAGCCCACAUUUGUGCCAGAGCUGCUCUGCCCUGCCGCAUAGCCUGGUGCAAUAGGAGAAGUCCUGGGGACUUGAAGUUCGUAUUGUGAGGUGUAGGUGGACUCUAGAUGGGAUUUGUAAAUGGACACAAGAUAUCUGGAGCCCUUAAGUUAUCCUGCAGCCCUUUGACUCUUGUCCUAACUUUCUUUCAGAUGCAGAAGGAUAAAAUCCAGGGCAGAGUACCCCAUCCCAAGUGAGGAGGUUCCCCGAGCAGGAAGUCAAGGGCCAGAGCAGCAGUCAAGACCGAGUGGGCAAGGU